RNAcentral lists this ribosomal RNA (411 nucleotides) under uncultured bacterium. RNAcentral's name for it is "bacterial SSU rRNA". It matches the Rfam family "Bacterial small subunit ribosomal RNA", at positions 8 to 429 of the family's 1533-position model. The record is from RNAcentral.
AGAGUUUGAUCCUGGCUCAGAAUGAACGUUGGCGGCGUGGAUUAGGCAUGCAAGUCGGUCGCCCCGCAAGGGGCGAGGCGCAAGGGUGAGUAAGGCGACGGCAACCAACCCCGAGGAUGGGUAUAGCCACUCGAAAGGGUGGGUAAUCCCCAGCGAAGUUACGGGAGGGCAUCUUCCUGUAACCAAAGGUGUGAGUCCGCCUCGGGACGGGCCGUCGUGGUAUCAGCUUGUUGGCGGGGUAAUGGCCCACCAAGGCUAGAACGCCUACCGGGCGUGCGAGCGUGGCCCGGCACACUGGGACUGAGACACUGCCCAGACUCCUACGGGAGGCUGCAGUCGAGAAUCUUCGGCAAUGGGCGCAAGCCUGACCGAGCGACGCCGCGUGGAGGAUGAAGGCCUUCGGGUUGUAAA